GACGAACGCUGGCGGCGUGCUUAACACAUGCAAGUCGAACGGAAAGGCCUCUUUCGGGGGGUACUCGAGUGGCGAACGGGUGAGUAACACGUGAGUAACCUGCCCUUGACUUUGGGAUAACUUCAGGAAACUGGGGCUAAUACCGGAUAGGAGCUCCUGCUGCAUGGUGGGGGUUGGAAAGUUUCGGCGGUUGGGGAUGGACUCGCGGCUUAUCAGCUUGUUGGUGGGGUAGUGGCUUACCAAGGCUUUGACGGGUAGCCGGCCUGGGAGGGUGACCGGCCACAUUGGGACUGAGAUACGGCCCAGACUCCUACGGGAGGCAGCAGUGGGGAAUAUUGCACAAUGGGUGGAAGCCUGAUGCAGCAACGCCGUGUGCGGGAUGACGGCCUUCGGGUUGGAAACCGCUUUCGCUCAUGACGAAGCUUUGUGUGACGGUAGUGGGUAAAGAAGCACCGGCUAACUACGUG
RNAcentral lists this ribosomal RNA (467 nucleotides) under uncultured bacterium. RNAcentral describes it as "partial 16S ribosomal RNA". It matches the Rfam family "Bacterial small subunit ribosomal RNA", at positions 28 to 507 of the family's 1533-position model. The record is from RNAcentral.